GCUCCCUUUUUUUCUAUAAACUUUACUUAUAGUGUUGAGACCAGCAUUAGUAGUAUAGGUCGUGUAUACAUGUACAUAAUUCCUUGAGAGGACCUAUGGAGAACCUGUGUAUAUAGUGUAUAUAUAUUUAAAGUGCUACAAGAUAUUCUUGGUGUUCCUUAAUGGAAGCAUAAUACAUACAGAAGAAGAAGAAGUAUUUGAUUUUAAUGUUGGACUCUGUCUUACUAUUGUAUUUUAUGUUUUCUUAUAUAUGUAUUUAUUGUAACUUACAAAUAUGUCUUAAGGUUUCACAGAUCUGGAAAAACUAUACAGUUUUAAAGGAAAAGAAUUCUAAAAGUCCCUUGAUUUCACAAAUUUCAUGGUAUAUUCAUGUUUAUUCACUCAUCAUAGAUAUUGAUAAAGCUAAACGCAUGCAUGAAGGGUGAUAUUUUUAAAAUAAUUUCUUAUAAUUGUCAAGGUCUGUAUACAAAGGAGAAACGGAGAAUUGAUUUGAACUAUUUAAAGUCAAAGAAUUUUAAUAUAUACUGUCUUCAGGACACACAUUUUACAGAACAAGAUGAAUUAAACAUUAAAAAUAAGUGGAAGGGAGAAUGCCUUUUCAAUUCAUUUACAUCCAAUCAGAGAGGUGUAGCCAUCUUUUUUAAUGAAAACUUUGAUCUUCAAAUUCACAAAGUUAAAAAAGAUGAGGGUGGAAAUCUUCUUGGAUUGGACAUUACAAUUGAAGAACAAAGAAUUACAUUAGUAAAUAUGUAUUGGCCAAAUGUAG
This 766-nucleotide long non-coding RNA is filed under the name Mytilus galloprovincialis (Mediterranean mussel). Lineage: Eukaryota; Metazoa; Mollusca; Bivalvia; Mytilida; Mytilidae. The record is from RNAcentral.